CUGAGCACAACUGGCUGAGGGACCCAUGGCAGGAACACGCAAGCAGCGUUUGCUCAAGCCAGACCCUCGAUUGCCAGAUCUGAUGUAGCCGUACAAUUCUCUUCCAUUCACACUUAGAAUGGCCUAAAUCUAAUUGGAAACGAGGACACCAUCAUCUGUGGGAAGAUCGGGCUGUCAGCAGUUACCAGAACUACGUGGGAGCUUUUCUGGAGCAAGCCGGCAUUUAUCCGUCACCUAGAUCUAGGAGGUGAAUGUGCUGCAGUAAGUGCCACUUCAGCAAAAUAAGCAGCUUUGCACCUUCUGGGUGCUUUUUGGAGUCCAUGAAGCACCAGUUUAGAAAAAGCAAAGAGCUGACCUGCAACCCCACUAUCCGUCUCAAUCUCUCUCAACAGAGACUGAGGACUGGUAUAAAACAGAGAAAUGCUGCUGUCACGCAGACGUGGCACCCUCUCGCCCACCGGCCAGCGUCAAGAGGGUGCACAGCUGCCAGCCCUGAACCAGCUCCUGGUUCAGGGGAGAGCCGGCCCCGCAACACCACCGUCUGCUGGAGAGGGCACAGGCCUCGCCUCCCACCGCCCAUUUAACUUUCGGGGUUAAAAUAGGCAACAUACGGAAGUUACUCACUCUCAUACAUAAUCAAAUCAGAGCAAUUCCUAAACUAAUUUAAAGGGGGUAAAAAGACUGAAAAAUCCUUCUUUCUGGAAGACAGCGGGCAAAAUCUAAACCUGGGACUUGUGGCUUUUUCUUUAGACAAAGCACUAGAAAUGUUCUCCUGCCUUCAGUGUUAAUCUCGCUUUCUUUUUUCUUGCACCUGCUAAUGUUCCCUCCCUCGUACGUCCCUCUUCCUUCCCCUCUUACAAGUUUAUUUAUUGUGACUAUUUUACCAGCUAUUGGUUCAACACACUCCACUCAAAUAUUCAUCAUUUAGUUCUCCGGGUAAAUCGUAUUUAAUCAGCACAGGAGAGAAAAUAGCAUAAUUAUAGAUGCCGGAUGCCAUUACACUCAGAAGAAAUUAAACCUUGUCUUAAGCUGUCCAGUGGUGCCUCUGAUGAAAACAAGCAGGCUGCACUGCUGGGGAGGUUACCGAGAGGUUAGCGGCCACAGAGGGCCAACCGUACCUUCUAGGCUCUCCGAAUCCAAGGAACAGGGAGCGGUGGAGAGGCAGAGUUAGGGAAAGAGAGAAGCUGCUAUGGAUUAACAGGGACCACCACGAUUUGCCAUAACGAAGCUGGUAAAUGUUUUGGGGUUUUUUUGAGAGUACGAUAAGCCAAACUCCUACAUUAAUCAGAGGGCAGGAAAACAAGGUUGCUACACAGAGACGUGGUGGUUGUAAACAAACCCUGUCCGCAGCAAUCCUCUCUUAAGAGUAAGGACAAAGAUAACGCAUGUUUCACCUCUGGCCUCAGGGUGAGGCUUGCUUUAGCAGCUGGUGAACCUUCAGAGCAGGAGCUAGGCUUCCUUGGCCGGUUGGUCGGCUUCGCACCGCAGCGCUGAGCUUUACCGGACUGCACGCGAACGGUUCGACACCAAAACGGAGGGAAGAGAGGGCACCCACACAAAUCGCCAACCCACGGGUAGCGCCUGGUCUACUUUGUGCCAAUUAGAGUACUUCUGUGGAAUGGGGCUUUUUUAAGGUAAAUAAUUCUAUUUCAGUAAUACUAAUGGACAAAUCUUUUACUGAUCGAUAAAGUCCGAAAAGUUAUUACAGCAACAAAGAUGCAAAUAGAUUCCUUAAGCUGCCUGGAGGAAGAAGUGGGGCAGCCUUCCCCAGCUGGCACCGAAGCACUCAGAACCUGGCGUUACCCUCGUACAAAGUACCCCAGCUUACCCGGGUUACGGCACAAAAUGCUACAGGAGACCUUUUACCUGGAGACGCUUCUUAUUCAUCACUCGACAUCAGUGCUCAGAAGCGACUUCCCAGGCUCAGACAGAACAAUGGCCAGAAAGGCUGAGUGUUGUAUUUUAUUUAUUAUUUAUUUUUUGCUAAUAAUACAUCUGAGGUUUAGAUAAGUAACUAAGAGGAAGGAGAGCUCCUUCUAGUCCAUCCUGCUGCCGACAAUUAAGAAACCUCAAAGUAAUUUUUGAAAAUGUCAGCGUCUCAUUUAGCAAACGGAUAAAUAAUGAAUGAAGCAUAAUCACUGUCCUGUGCUGGUGGUACAGCUUCGCGGUGUCAUUAGUAAACUAACGGUAUAAUAUCUUCGUGUCACAGUUUAAUUAUAUCUUGUAAUUAGUUUCAGCAAUGGAUUGCACAGAGUCAGGCCCCCUGAGCUAAACAAAAGGUAAUAGAACUUUCAGAGUCCUCGCAUAAAUCAAUUAUGAAAGUGUCCUGUGUUAUUUGAGGCUUGUUUGCUGUAAUUUUAUGCACAAAGAAGAAAUGAUCCCUGCUGCCUAUGGAGGGUGAUUCACCUUACCAAUUGCCUGCCUAAAUGAGUAUGAGUACUAGAGGAGCACGAGCCCACCCUGCGCUGUACAUCUAUCAAUGCCCGCUCGCCUAAAGAGGGCUGGUAAGCGUGGCUGCUGAGCGCGCGAGCCGUACGAGCGCUGGACCGAGAGCGUGCCCUGCCCGGUUGCGGACGCCACAAACGCAGCAACGUCCCUGCAGACACGGAAGGAUGGUGCUACGACUUCUGUGUGGCUGCUGCUGAUGCGUUAUAGGCCAGCACUGAAGCGAUAAUCGUGUCAUAACUGUGUAAUCCUCUGCGUCCAAAGCUGCACGUCGCUGCAUUUCUGUUUGUGAUCCCGAGAGGACCACACCACCAUCCAGGCAACACCUACGCCUUCCUUCUCCCUCUUCUUCAUCCACAGAGUGAAAAAAAUCCCCCCGCACGAGACGGCUGACCUCUGGCUUGCGCUGGCACAUCAAGACUAGCCACCAGCGCUGGUUCCUGGCUCAGCGGUUCUCUUCCUCGUGCAUUCCUGGGUUAGUCCUUUCUCCUGCUUGAUUUCUGAUAUUACUCGCUUGCUGCCACGCGAAUGAAUCAAGCAGGAGAGGGCCGUACUGGAAACAGACCCGUACUGGCCGAAGGGUCCACUGAGGUUACGCAAUUGUAAUUGCAGCAGAUCAAAAUCUCUGCAGCCAUCCUGCAGGCUGCUACUUAGCUCCGGAAAUUCUAUAGAAGACGCUCUGCUCUUAAGAGCUCUUUAUACCGCGCCAGCAGCACGUGCCUAUAUAAACUGCGGAUAUAAAAACCUGUACCUGUAAAGUGGCUGUGAAUGAUCUCCACUAUCCCAGCCUAUACCUUCUCACACAGUUUCAGGGAAAAGAGUUGCAUUACUGGAAUUAAAUGUAUAAAAUAAUGUUUUACAGUUCAGGCUUAAUAGCUGUAUUUUAUUUGCAUAUUUUUCCACGGUCGUCUUAAAAGUACUACGAGUUCUGUUACCAUCCCUCCACGUACCGAUGCACACGCAUGGCUCUCGCUGCUCUGGUGUCUGAGUGCUUGAAUCAUUUGUCUUUUCACGUUCCUCCUCUGCCCCCACUGCUUGGUGUUGGAAGCUGCCUAUGUUACGUGGGAUGGAGGAGGAGGAAAAAAAAAAUAAAAAAUAAAGCCGAACCUCUCAGUGUGUCUAAUUUUGGCCUACCGAGACCUCCAAAAGCAAAAAAGGCUCAAAGCAGAAGCAAAGGGCUAUCCGCAGGUCACCCAAUGCGAGUCUGAGUGUCUGGGAUCCCUACUGCGGGCAGCAGAGGAGAAGUGUGGAGAAGAGUCUGAAAGGUGCCAAGACAUGUAAUCGUCUCUGUUCUGAUCAAGCUGCAAAACACACUGGGGUCCUGGUUCAAAGCCCUCAUCAAGUCUGCCUUGAAAGUGAAUCUAGUGGCAUGCUGGCCUUUCUGU
Phalacrocorax carbo (great cormorant) is the source of this 3830-nucleotide non-coding RNA. The record is from RefSeq and is a predicted model, not a curated record. Lineage: Eukaryota; Metazoa; Chordata; Aves; Suliformes; Phalacrocoracidae.